CCUACGGGAGGCUGCAGUGGGGAAUAUUGCACAAUGGGCGCAAGCCUGAUGCAGCCAUGCCGCGUGUGUGAAGAAGGCCUUCGGGUUGUAAAGCACUUUCAGCGGGGAGGAAGGCGGUGAGGUUAAUAACCUCAUCGAUUGACGUUACCCGCAGAAGAAGCACCGGCUAACUCCGUGCCAGCAGCCGCGGUAAUACGGAGGGUGCAAGCGUUAAUCGGAAUUACUGGGCGCAAAGCGCACGCAGGCGGUCUGUCAAGUCGGAUGUGAAAUCCCCGGGCUCAACCUGGGAACUGCAUUCGAAACUGGCAGGCUAGAGUCUUGUAGAGGGGGGUAGAAUUCCAGGUGUAGCGGUGAAAUGCGUAGAGAUCUGGAGGAAUACCGGUGGCGAAGGCGGCCCCCUGGACAAAGACUGACGCUCAGGUGCGAAAGCGUGGGGAGCAAACAGGAUUAGAUACCCCUGUAGUC
This 465-nucleotide ribosomal RNA is filed under the name uncultured Klebsiella sp. Its description in RNAcentral is "bacterial SSU rRNA". It matches the Rfam family "Bacterial small subunit ribosomal RNA", at positions 338 to 795 of the family's 1533-position model. Lineage: Bacteria; Pseudomonadati; Pseudomonadota; Gammaproteobacteria; Enterobacterales; Enterobacteriaceae. The record is from RNAcentral.